GCCUUAGUAGUAUAAAAAUUACAUUGGUCUUGUAAACCAAAAAUGAGAAACUAAUUCUCCUAAGACA
Non-coding RNA from Octodon degus (degu), 67 nucleotides. The record is from the annotation of a RefSeq genome assembly. Lineage: Eukaryota; Metazoa; Chordata; Mammalia; Rodentia; Octodontidae.